UUAAGUUCAGCGGGUAGUCCUACCUGAUUUGAGGCCCAGGAGUACAAAACUUGCCCGGAGGGCGAUUAGAAGCGUGCUUCACACGUCAACCCAGCGAAACUUAUUACGCCAGACGACAUUGCUAUACUCGCUAACUCCUUUAAGGCGAGCCAGACAAGCUGGCAGCACCCAGAUCCAAGCCAAUAAGAAACCCUAUUGGU
Molecule: unclassified non-coding RNA, 200 nt
Filed under: Tremellomycetes sp.
Lineage: Eukaryota; Fungi; Basidiomycota; Tremellomycetes
Description: partial internal transcribed spacer 2
Source: RNAcentral